Molecule: ribosomal RNA, 546 nt
Filed under: Lepidurus apus lubbocki
Lineage: Eukaryota; Metazoa; Arthropoda; Branchiopoda; Notostraca; Triopsidae
Description: partial 12S ribosomal RNA
Source: RNAcentral
AGAGAGCGACGGGCGAUAUGUACACACUCCAGAGCUCAUUUCAUAUAAAUAUUUUAUCUUUAUUUUACUACUAAAUCCACCUUCAUAAUAAUUAUACAACUAUUAAUCCGUAAUAAUUCCAGAUUAUUGUAACCCACUACUCCCAAAUUCAUUGACUGCACCUUGACCUGAUGUCAUAGUAAUAAACUAAUUAGAUAAUAUUUUUCAAAAAUAAUCUGACAACGGCGGUAUACAAACUGAAAAACAAAAAUAUGUAUAUUUAAUCGUGGAAUAUCGAUACAAGAGCAGGUUCCUCUAGUAAGAAUGAAGUACCGCCAAAUUCUUUAGGUUUAGACAAUCAUUUACUACCCAGGCAUCUAACAAUAAAGAAUAAUAGGGUAUCUAAUCCUAGUUUAAAUCUUUAUUUCAAAAGAAUGUAAAGUUUUUUUAUAUUAUUAUUAUGUAUAUUUUAAAAUUUCACCUUUAAAUUUACACUCAAAAAAUUAUUUUAAAACAUAUUUUUACUCAUUUCCACCAAACAAUUAUAUUUGAUCCUAUCGUAUAACC